This is a long non-coding RNA of Manis javanica (Malayan pangolin), 5385 nucleotides long. RefSeq lists it as uncharacterized. The record is from RefSeq and is a predicted model, not a curated record. NCBI's taxonomy places the organism in Eukaryota, Metazoa, Chordata, Mammalia, Pholidota, Manidae.
UCCAGGUGCGACCCUGGGAGCCUGAAACCUAUCUUUUUAAGGGGACAUAGUCUACCCACUACAGAUGGAGAGAAGUGAGAGGCUUCAAGAACUAUCAAAGUAAGAGAAAUCUUAGUGACUAGAAGGGUGUGGGGUGGGGGCAGUAGAAUGAAGAGAAAAAUCACUCAAAUGCCCUGCUCUCAUAGGCAUCACAAAGCUCGGAGUCAUGCUGGUGUCUUGUUCCUCUCUGAGUGAGUUCCUUAGGAUAGUAUUUCGAGAACCUGAUUCCCGUAUUUUGGGGCCAGUAAACACAUUGCUGAAAUAACCUCCUUCCUGCCUGACAGCCUGCUCCCUUCCCCGUGGGGCGGGGUUCUCCCCACGCAGUCCUGCAGGCACACAAUCAACUCCAGUUCAGGCGACACUUUGGAGCCGAACCAAGUUCAGGGUCUCAGGGCCCCGGGACACCGGAAGCUGCUCCAGAUCUCAGCAGCCUUAAGGGGAAGGGCAGAAGGGAGCCAGCUUUGGGCCAGUCUCAGGGUGGAGGAGGAGAGGACCGGCCAGUGGUCAGUAGGGGAGCCCCUUUCUCCCAAUCCCAAGCAUGACUCAAAGCACUUUCCUUCUGGAAGGUUCUGCUCUUCCCUCCUCCCAUUACCCACCAAAGAUCUUGAGCAGGUGUCAGAGUUCCCUGGAGGGCUUGUGACAACACAGAUCACUGGGCCUCUCCCCAGUGUCUGAUUCAGCAGCUCUGAGCUAGGGAUCAGGAAUUUGCAUUUCUAAUGCGUUCCCAGGUGGCUGGGGCGUUGCUAUUCCUGGGAACAGGUGAAACUGCAGCUGAGUUAAACCUCUCAGCCCUGCCUGUGAGGCUCACACAGGGAGUUAAAAACAACACCGGCCCCUGUGCUGGAUCCCAGACCUGAGAAUCUCUGAGGAUGGGGCACAGCGCUGGCAUGCUUAGGAGUCUAAUGGUCAGCCAGACUGGGGGCCAAGAGCCCAAUUCCUCCUUGUGCAUCAGACAUAGAUUCAGAAAGCUUUCCCUGACUCCCCCAGGGGCAUCAGGGCUCUCAUCCACCAUCCAUUUAUUCCUUCCCUCGCGUGCACUGGGUCCUGCUGUGAGGCCAGGUCUCAGCUCUGUCCUCGUGGUGAUUUCAUGCCUGGUGGAGGAGACAGACAUAAACAAUCAGUCUGGACAACAUCAGAGUGCCUUGAAAAUAAAACAGGAUGACGUGAUAGGGAGCAUUACUUUGGAUGGGCUGAUCAGGGGAGGCCUCUCUGAGGAGGUGACAUUAGAGCCAGAGCUGAGGGAGCUGCCAUGGAGACCAGUGGAGAGUGUUUGAAGCAGUGAGUACAUGCCAAGGUCCUGUGGUGGUCAUAAGCUGAACACAAUGGAAGACCCGCUAGAGGCUGGGGUGGCUGCAUCUCAGCGAGUGAGUUGGGGGAGGGAGGAGAGGUGGCCUAGUGCCAGAGCUGCAGGGCCUGCUGGGCUCCGGGGAUGGGUCAGGGCUUUAAGCCUGUGCAAAGGGAAGCCAACAGAGGGUUUAAGCCAGGAGUAACGAGAUCCCUUUGCUUUGAAAAGGUCCACUCUGAUCUCUGUAAUAUACCCUCACUGAAAUGAAGCAGAUUCCUUUCCCUGAGUAUUUUUCUCAGACUCACCGCUGUGAGAGUACUGUGUUUGUCCCUGCUGGUCCGGGACCUGUGUGAGGCUGUCUUCCUUGCCCAUUGGAAAUGCCCAGUAAACUACUGGCUCUGUGGUGAGUGUCCGGCGGUCUGCCUAACAUCGUCCCACCCCUGCCCUAACAGGAGUGUUGGCUGCUGGUGGCUGUGUCCAGCAUGCUGUCCCCAUCUUUAUACUGUUCUACAGUUGAGUGAACUUUUUAAAGGGUGAGUGAGGCCCUUUUCUAUCUGAAAGGGAUGCUUUGUACCAAUGUUAGCUGCAAGAAUGCUCCUGUCUGACUGCACUGUGGCUGUCCGCUUGCUCUGAUGCUGCUGCGGAAUGUGUCCCCAGGCCUCAGUGGGCCCCAGCGGGGAGGACAUGGGUGUUGGAGAGGAGGGGGCUGUACAGAAGCUGCAGGAUAGAAAAUGUCACUCUGGCAGGAAAAGUAGCAUAUCAGAUGGGGCCUUGCAACAAAUGGAGUGUUGAGCAGAAACUUGGCUUUCAUUUAAAAAGCCAGUGUGCAUUGGGCCCACACAUGGUGAGGGGUUAAGUGGUUCUCCUGAGUUAGGAAGAGAAGCCCCAAAACUCAGCCCAGAUUUCAACAAAUCAGAGCUCAUACUCUUUGGACCUGGGAACAAAAGCCCUAAGAGAGAUACAGGGAAGAGAGAGAUUUAGACUGUGAGCCUCUUGUGUGCUUUUUUGGUACUCCCUAAAAGCUGCUGCCAAAAUCAUGCCACCUUGACAUUGCAUGCUUCAGUUCCUCCAACACAGAAAGUUCAUUCCUGCUCCGGACCUUUACACUUGCUGUGCCCUCUGCCUGGAGUCCUCUCCCGGUCUUCUCAUGAUUGGCCCUUCUUCAUGCAGUUCUCUGCUCAAGGAUCACCUUCUAGAAGCCUCACUGUCAUUCACUCUCUGUCAGACCACUCUAUUUUGUUUCUCAGCAUUUAACUUAAUCUGAAAUAAUUUUGUUUGCUUAUUUGUGUAUGUCUCCACCCACUGGAAUGCACCUCUGCCAUGGAAGGAACCUCUCUCAUGAUCUCCAGUGCCCAGAGCUGUCCUGACCCAUAGAGGACACUCGGGGGAAGUCCUGAGAUGGAGCAGCAUUAGGACCCUCAGUCUCAGUGGUCAAGGAUGGACAUCCCUGAGGACCCAGGCUUUUUUCAUCUCUCUGCUCCAGCAUUUUCUGCAGUGCAAGGUGGCCCCAUCAACCCAGACUUCUCAUGCAGAAUCAGUUCCUGUAUCCACCAGGGUCUGAGCAGGAAGUGGACAGCACGCUCAAAAUAGGAGACUCUCAAGAGGGUUCAACAGAGGAGCUAUUUCCAAAGGCAGAGGGAAAACAAAGGACGGAGAGGCUGUUCUCAGCCCUUGAGCCGAAGGGUCGGGACCUGGAAGGAGAGGAGGCUGCUGAUUCAGUCAGCUGUUGCCGCAUAACAAUGUAAUGACUUAAAACAGCACCAUUUAGGUAUUUCUCCCGAUGUGUGGGUAGAAACGGCGAUUCAGGUCCCAAAUGGCCCCUCAAGGUGCUGGCUGCCAGCUGGGGGCUCGUUGGGCUGCUGCUGGGGCUGGGAUCCCCUCACGUGGCUUCUUCACCCAGAUGCUUGGGCUUCCUCCCAGCGUGGCUGCCGAGUUCAAGAGGGAGUGUUCCAGGAGGUGAGGCCAGAAGCUGCUGAUCGCUUAGGGUCCCCUCUUGGAGGCCACAGUGUCACUGGUGCCACAUCCUAUUGAAACAGGCCACAGUGUCAGCCUAGAUGUGGGGGGAGGGGACAUAGAUUCUUUGUAAGAGGAGUAGCCAAGGAUCUUUAAUCUUUUAAUCUUUAAGGAAAUAGCAUGGGCGGAAUCUGGGGAAUAGUGUCUCAUUUCUCCCUCACCUUCUUCAGAUCGCCUCCCUCCCACUGGCCAGAGGCAGCUGGACACGUAAGGACAAGGAAGCCUGCUGACCUGGCCUGUGACAGUCAUCUUCUUGGGUGGCACGGGGUGGAAGCGGAAGAUGGCUUUGAGGGGGAGGAGGACACCCUGACACAGCACCUGCUGCUGCCAAGCUCUUCUAGGACCCUCUAUUUUUCCUUUAUUAUGAUGCAAUUUGUGACAGAUCUGUGAUUCGGCUUUGUGUCAAAUUUGGCUUUGUGUCAAAUUCUUCAUUGUCAGUCUCUCUUUUAAGACCAUGAGCUCCCAGGAAGUGGGACCAGCUGCUAUGCCCACCACUGGAUCCCCAGGCCCAGCACUGGCAUAGGUAGGUGCUCAGUAGCCCCUCACUCCUGAUCCAUCUGCUAGAGCUGUGGGUUCUGUACCCCAAAUACACCUUGAAUCCAUCCAGCUGUCUCUGGUUCCCCCAAUCCAGAUCCCUAUAACACAGGACAACUGCAUUUCUUUUUAUUGAGGUAUGGUUGAUAUGACAACUGUAUCUUAUCAUAUCUAAGCCACGUUUUUUACUCUUGACCUCCAAACAGUGGCCAGGGAGAUGCAUUUUUUUAUUCUUAAGAAAAGAAAAGAAAUUGUUUUGGUCAACUGGGGCUGCUCUAGAAGAAAGCUACAGACUGAGUGGCUUAUAAGCAGCAGAAUUUAUUUCUCAUACUUUUGGAGGCGGAAGUCAGAGGUGAAGGUGCUGGCAGAUUCUCUGUCUGGUGAGAACCCACUUCCUGGUUCAUAGGUGGUACCUGGGACCCUGUGUCCUCACCUAGCAGAAGGGGUGAGGAAGCUCUCUGGGGUCUCCUUUAUAAGGGCACUUAUUUCAUGUAUCAGGUUCCACCCUCAUGACCUAACUGCCUCCCAAAGACCCCACCUCUUAACACCAUCACACUGGGUGUUAGGAUUUAACAUAUGAAUUUUGGGGGACACACACAUUUAGUCUUAGUAGAAACACACACCAGAGCAAAGACUGUACCAUGAAUUCCCCAACAUGCCCAUUUCUCAGAUUUAACAAUUAUCCAGGUUUUUUUGUCCCUGUUGCUUCAUCUGUCCUUGUUUCUUUCUCUUUGAGUGAAUUGUCUUGAAGCUUACCUCGGGUCCUCAUGGUGCCAUCUGUGCUUCUCUGGCCCUUGAACAAACUGGACAGCUCCUUGUUGCAGGGCCUUUGCACUUACUGCUUAUUUUGCCAGAGAUGUCCUCCCCUGGCUCUGGCCCUUCAUACUUCACCCCUCCACCCCCUCAUCUCUCUGUGGUAUUACCCCAUUGUUUCUCUCAUUAGCACUUAACAUCAUCUAAGAUCCUUAUUUAUUUGCUUGUGGGAUUUUUGUUGUUGUUGUUGUUGUUUGUUUUGCUUUUAAAUUUCUCUUCCCAACUAAAAAAGAAGGCCAGGACACAGGGACCCUGUCUUUCUGGUCCACUACUCUAUCCCCAGCUCAUAACACACAGUAGGCCCAGCAAAGAGUGGGUGCUCAGCAGGUAUUUGCUACAUGAAGAAUGAAUGAAUGUGAACAUCUCUCUGGGUAGGUAGGGCAGGGUCAUGUGACUUUAGAGGAGCCUUCUGGGUCCUGGGAUAGGAACCAUCCUCAUGUGGCCAGCUGCUGUGGGCCAUGGCAUCUGACAGAAGCUUCUCUCCUCUUGUGACCUGGUGGAAAUGGAGCAGAGUUAUCAGUUCACAGCUGCCCGCUGAGUCCUCCCCACACACUUCCACCUUUGUCUCCGUACGUAUCAUCCUGUAACAGCAUUGUCCAACAGAGGUGCAAUGAGAGCCACAUAUGCAAUUAAAAUGUUUUUUUAGUAGGUGCAUUUCAAAAAUAAAAAGGUGAAAUUUAUUUUAAUAGUAUAUUUUAUCU